This 23-nucleotide microRNA is filed under the name Caenorhabditis elegans. Its description in RNAcentral is "cel-miR-85-5p". Its record names the gene cel-miR-85-5p. Lineage: Eukaryota; Metazoa; Nematoda; Chromadorea; Rhabditida; Rhabditidae. The record is from miRBase by way of RNAcentral.
CCGAUUUUUCAAUAGUUUGAAAC